Colletotrichum spaethianum is the source of this 82-nucleotide non-coding RNA. NCBI's taxonomy places the organism in Eukaryota, Fungi, Ascomycota, Sordariomycetes, Glomerellales, Glomerellaceae. The record is from the annotation of a RefSeq genome assembly.
GGAAGGGUGGCCGAGUUGGUUAUGGCGCCAGGUUAAGGUCCUGGUGGGGCAACCCGCGCGAGUUCGAGUCUCGUCCCUUUCA